AGGGUGAGCAAAAAUUUUCCAUUUUUCUAAACGUUACAAUUAAGAGCCAACAAAAAAAGUAAGAAUAAUUUGUUUAACCUGUAUGCUAAAGGUAGCUUAAACUCCAGAUGAGUCAAGGAACUUAGAGGUUCUUUGAUUGUGAAGAGUGAUUUUGUUCUAUCACUGACAUAAAAAACGGUGCCAACCACCUUAUAACGUAGUACAUUUUCUGUUGCUAUUUAAAGAGAAAGAUUGGUGACCAUGGCCACAUAUGUUAACUUGUUGAGCUUUUGUACAGGGAACAAGUGUGACAUUUUAUAUUUUCAUAUUUAUGACUUAUGAAUAUGGCAUCUGUUUCUCAGACACUAGAUUGAUUUCACUAAGUAUUUGAGAGACUUUGUAAAAGAAAAACAUUCUUGCAUCUCACAAGCUUUAAUUGUUUUGUGCUUGGUCAAGUAUUCAUCUUCUUCUUCAUCAAGCUCUGAUUCUUCCAGCAGUUCUUCUGAUUCUGAAGAUGAGGAUAAGAAACAAGGAAAACGGAGAAAGAAAAAGAAGAACCGUUCACAUAAAUC
RNAcentral lists this long non-coding RNA (551 nucleotides) under Pan troglodytes (chimpanzee). RNAcentral's name for it is "long non-coding RNA NONPTRT016292". The record is from RNAcentral. Lineage: Eukaryota; Metazoa; Chordata; Mammalia; Primates; Hominidae.